GACGUAGGGCGCGAGCGUUGUCCGGAUUUAUUGGGCGUAAAGAGCUCGUAGGCGGCUUGUUGCGUCAGCUGUGAAAACCCGCAGCUCAACUGUGGGCUUGCAGCUGAUACGGGCAGGCUUGAGUUCGGUAGGGGAGACUGGAAUUCCUGGUGUAGCGGUGAAAUGCGUAGAUAUCGAGAGGUACACCUGCGGCGAAGGCGGGUUGCUGGGCUGACACUGACGCUGAUGCGCGAAAGCUAGGGGAGCGAACGGG
This 253-nucleotide ribosomal RNA is filed under the name uncultured bacterium. RNAcentral's name for it is "partial 16S ribosomal RNA". It matches the Rfam family "Bacterial small subunit ribosomal RNA", at positions 524 to 776 of the family's 1533-position model. The record is from RNAcentral.